RNAcentral lists this ribosomal RNA (507 nucleotides) under uncultured bacterium. Its description in RNAcentral is "partial 16S ribosomal RNA". It matches the Rfam family "Bacterial small subunit ribosomal RNA", at positions 28 to 506 of the family's 1533-position model. The record is from RNAcentral.
GACGAACGCUGGCGGCGUGCCUAAUACAUGCAAGUCGAACGCUUCUUUCCUCCCGAGUGCUUGCACUCAAUUGGAAAGAGGAGUGGCGGACGGGUGAGUAACACGUGGGUAACCUACCCAUCAGAGGGGGAUAACACUUGGAAACAGGUGCUAAUACCGCAUAACAGUUUAUGCCGCAUGGCAUAAGAGUGAAAGGCGCUUUCGGGUGUCGUUGAUGGAUGGACCCGCGGUGCAUUAGCUAGUUGGUGAGGUAACGGCUCACCAAGGCCACGAUGCAUAGCCGACCUGAGAGGGUGAUCGGCCACACUGGGACUGAGACACGGCCCAGACUCCUACGGGAGGCAGCAGUAGGGAAUCUUCGGCAAUGGACGAAAGUCUGACCGAGCAACGCCGCGUGAGUGAAGAAGGUUUGCGGAUCGUAAAACUCUGUUGUUAGAGAAGAACAAGGACGUUAGUAACUGAACGUCCCCUGACGGUAUCUAACCAGAAAGCCACGGCUAACUACGU